RNAcentral lists this ribosomal RNA (437 nucleotides) under Leptopelis flavomaculatus. RNAcentral's name for it is "partial large subunit ribosomal RNA". It matches the Rfam family "Bacterial large subunit ribosomal RNA", at positions 2002 to 2607 of the family's 2925-position model. The record is from RNAcentral. Lineage: Eukaryota; Metazoa; Chordata; Amphibia; Anura; Arthroleptidae.
UCNCGAAGACUACACUGUCUCCCCCCUAAAAUCAAUGAAACUAAUCUCCUCGUGAAGAAGCGAGGAUACAAAUAUAAGACGAGAAGACCCCAUGGAGCUUUAAACAAACCCCAACUGCUCCCUCCCUAAUCAUAGAAAUUGAGCAUUAAUGACGGGUAGUUUUCGGUUGGGGUGACCGCGGAGUAAAACAAAACCUCCACAAUGAAUGUAAUAAAAUACUAAUAAAAGAACCACAAUUCUAAUAAUCAAAAAAUUGACAUAUUUGACCCAAACACUUGAUCAAUGAACCAAGUUACCCUGGGGAUAACAGCGCAAUCCAUUUUAAGAGCCCCUAUCGACAAAUGGGUUUACGACCUCGAUGUUGGAUCAGGGUAUCCUAGUGGUGCAGCCGCUACUAACGGUUCGUUUGUUCAACGAUUAAAACCCUACGUGAUCUG